Molecule: transfer RNA, 60 nt
Filed under: Eisenia nordenskioldi
Lineage: Eukaryota; Metazoa; Annelida; Clitellata; Crassiclitellata; Lumbricidae
Description: tRNA-Leu
Source: RNAcentral
AAUAAGUUGGCAGAAUAUUGCCAUCGACUUAGAAUCGAUUCAUGGGUCACCCACUUAUUA